Molecule: ribosomal RNA, 497 nt
Filed under: uncultured bacterium
Lineage: Bacteria
Description: partial 16S ribosomal RNA
Rfam family: Bacterial small subunit ribosomal RNA
Source: RNAcentral
GAUGAACGCUGGCGGCGUGCCUAAUACAUGCAAGUCGAACGGACAGACGCGGAGCUUGCUCCUCUGACGUUAGCGGCGGACGGGUGAGUAACACGUGGAUAACCUACCUAUAUGACUGGGAUAACUUCGGGAAACCGGAGCAAAUACCGGAUAAUCUCUUGCACCGCAUGGUUCAAUAGUGAAAGACGGUUUUGCUGUCACUUAUAGCUGGAUCCGGGCCGCAUUAGCUAGUUGGUAAGGUCACGGCUUAUCAAGGCAACUAUGCGUAGACGAACUGAGAGGGUGAUCGGCCACCCGGGAACGGGGCCACGGUCCUGAGGCCUACGGGAGGCAGCAGUAGGGAACCGUACGCAAUGGUCGGAAGCAUGACGGAGUAAGGGGGCGUGAGUGAUGAAGGCCUUCGGUUCGUAAAAACGGGUUACGGGGGAAGAACAACUUUGUAAGGAACCGAGGACGGAUUGACGGUACCGGAUCAGAAAGCCCCGGCUAACUACGUG